This 1409-nucleotide ribosomal RNA is filed under the name uncultured bacterium. RNAcentral's name for it is "bacterial SSU rRNA". It matches the Rfam family "Bacterial small subunit ribosomal RNA". The record is from RNAcentral.
CUUACACAUGCAAGUCGAACGCGAAAGCGGGGCAACCCGCAAGUAGAGUGGCGAACGGGUGAGUAAUACAUCGGAACAUAUCCAGUAGCGGGGGAUAACCUGUCGAAAGAUAGGCUAAUACCGCAUACGAUCUAAGGAUGAAAGCAGGGGACCGCAAGGCCUUGCACUAUUGGAGUGGCCGAUGUCGGAUUAGCUAGUUGGUGAGGUAAAGGCUUACCAAGGCGACGAUCCGUAGCUGGUCUGAGAGGACGAUCAGCCACACUGGAACUGAGACACGGUCCAGACUCCUACGGGAGGCAGCAGUGGGGAAUUUUGGACAAUGCGCGCAAGCCUGAUCCAGCCAUGCCGCGUGAGUGAAGAAGGCCUUCGGGUUGUAAAGCUCUUUCGGCGGGGACGAAACGGUUCGCACUAACACUGCGGACUAAUGACGGUACCCGCAUAAGAAGCACCGGCUAACUACGUGCCAGCAGCCGCGGUAAUACGUAGGGUGCAGGCGUUAAUCGGAAUUACUUGGGCGUAAAGCGUGCGCAGGCGGUCUGUUAAGACAGGUGUGAAAUCCCCGAGCUCAACUUGGGAAUUGCGCUUGUAACUGGCAGGCUAGAGUGUGGCAGAGGGGGGUGGAAUCCACGUGUAGCAGUGAAAUGCGUAGAUAUGUGGAGGAACACCGAUGGCGAAGGCAGCCCCCUGGGUUAACACUGACGCUCAGGCACGAAAGCGUGGGGAGCAAACAGGAUUAGAUACCCUGGUAGUCCACGCCCUAAACUAUGUCAACUAGUUGUCGGGGAAGAAAUUCCUUGGUAACGAAGCUAACGCGUGAAGUUGACCGCCUGGGGAGUACGGCCGCAAGGUUAAAACUCAAAGGAAUUGACGGGGACCCGCACAAGCGGUGGAUUAUGUGGAUUAAUUCGAUGCAACGCGAAAAACCUUACCUACCCUUAACAUGCUAGGAAGUCCGCAGAGAUGUGGAUGUGCCCGAAAGGGAACCUAGACACAGGUGCUGCAUGGCUGUCGUCAGCUCGUGUCGUGAGAUGUUGGGUUAAGUCCCGCAACGAGCGCAACCCUUGUCGUUAAUUGCCAUCAUUUAGUUGGGCACUUUAACGAGACCGCCGGUGACAAACCGGAGGAAGGUGGGGAUGACGUCAAGUCCUCAUGGCCCUUAUGGGUAGGGCUUCACACGUAAUACAAUGGUCGGUACAGAGGGCUGCCAACCCGCGAGGGGGAGCUAAUCCCAGAAAGCCGAUCGUAGUCCGGAUUGUAGUCUGCAACUCGACCCCAUGAAGUCGGAAUCGCUAGUAAUCGCGUAACAGCAUGACGCGGUGAUACGUUCCCGGGCCUUGUACACACCGCCCGUCACACCAUGGGAAUUGGGUCUACCCGACGACGGUGCGCCAACCUCGCGAGAGGAAGCA